RNAcentral lists this ribosomal RNA (497 nucleotides) under uncultured Lachnospiraceae bacterium. RNAcentral's name for it is "partial 16S ribosomal RNA". Lineage: Bacteria; Bacillati; Bacillota; Clostridia; Lachnospirales; Lachnospiraceae. The record is from RNAcentral.
CACGUAGUUAGCCGGGGCUUCUUCUUCAGGUACCGUCAUUUUCUUCCCUGCUGACAGGGCUUUACGCGCCGAGGCGCUUCUUCACCCACGCGGCGUCGCUGCAUCAGGGUUUCCCCCAUUGUGCAAUAUCCCCCACUGCUGCCUCCCGUAGGAGUCUGGGCCGUGUCUCAGUCCCAGUGUGGCCGUCCGCCCUCUCAGGCCGGCUACUGAUCGUCGCUUUGGUAGGCCGUUACCCUGCCAACUGGCUAAUCAGACGCGGGCCCAUCCUGUACCACCGGAGUUUUCAGGAAAAAGCCAUGCGGCUUCCCCCGUUAUGCGGUAUUAGCACCUAUUUCUAAGUGUUAUCCCCCUGUACAGGCCAGGUUGCCCACGCGUUACUCACCCGUCCGCCACUCAUGCACAGAUCUUCCGACCGUAAUCUUCCCUUCUGUACACCCGUUCGACUUGCAUGUGUUAGGCACGCCGCCAGCGUUCAUCCUGAGCCAGGAUCAAACUCU